AUGGGCCGUUGGUUGCCUUCAUGGGAGAGUGCGGCCUUUGAGGUCUUCAGCGUGGGUGUGGAGGAGCGGGAAGAGGUGAGGAUGAUGACAACGUGGGAAAAAAGCAGCCAGAUCAAAGCUCCCGUCGCCGCUCACGUUGCCAAGGAGUGGAGGGCCGCAGUUGGCCGCAUCACAGACAAGCGAGGACAAGGACAACGCCUGGAUUCGGCGAUGGCAUCAUCCAUCAUGAGAGGCCUGGGCCUCCUCCACGGACAAGGCGGCGGCGGACAACGCCUGGAUUCGGCGAUGGCAUCAUCCAUCAUGAGAGGCCUGGGCUUCCUCCACGGCCAAGGCGGCGGCGAUCUGAGCACCAGUUCAAGUUUUCUGAAGAAAAGCUUCAGGCUUCUGCAGUUUUCAUUCUUCACGGCGCAGAGGUUACAGAGGUCAGAUGAUGUGUGCAAGGAAGGAAAGAUGCAGACAAGCAACGCCGAAGACGUCUUCAAAGCGCUUGAUGAGAUUGAGUUCCCAGAGUUGGUAGAGCCCCUGAGGACUGCAUUGGAUGAAGCAAAGGCAGUCUGGAGCAAAACAGAGGAAACUAGAUACAGAGCCAAUGCUGUAGAGCAAAAUGAUCGAGCAAACGAAGCCAACGCGGAUGACGAUUAA
Molecule: ribosomal RNA, 642 nt
Filed under: Triticum aestivum (bread wheat)
Lineage: Eukaryota; Viridiplantae; Streptophyta; Magnoliopsida; Poales; Poaceae
Description: partial small subunit ribosomal RNA
Source: RNAcentral